UUAGCUUUUAUUUUUUUUGUAUGCUAUUUUUUGUUUUUAUUUAAAACAGAUAUAUAUUUGGUUUAUGAAUCAGUUAUCAUGUGUUACUAUUAUUAAUUUUUUUCGGAUUUAAUUUUUAUUUUUUUUUGAAGUUGGAAAAGAAAGUAAUUUUUUUUUUAUGUAUUAAUGAAUUUAAUAAACGGAGUGGUACAAACCAUCCGUCAAU
This 205-nucleotide ribosomal RNA is filed under the name Setaria digitata. RNAcentral's name for it is "partial small subunit ribosomal RNA". Lineage: Eukaryota; Metazoa; Nematoda; Chromadorea; Rhabditida; Setariidae. The record is from RNAcentral.